UUGACUACAGGUAUCCACCUCCUAGUCCUGAGAACCUGUAAAUAUGUGAACCUGACCUGGCAAAAGGGCCUUUGCAGGUGUGACCGGGUUAAAGACCUGGGGAUGGGAGAUGAUCCCGGAUGGGCCAGGUGAGUCCAGUGUCAUGACACAGUCCUUAUAGGAAGCCGGGGGUUGACGACAGGGUGAAGCAGUGUGAUAAAGACCCAGCCAGCACCGCAGUUUGUGAAGAUGGAGGAAGGGGUCAUGAGCAAGGAAUGCCGUGGCUUCUAGAAGCUGGAAAAGAUAAGGGAAUGUCGUCUCCCCUGGUGCCUCCAGAAGGAAUGCUGUCCUGCAGAUUUUAGUCAAUUUUAGCUCAGUGGGGCUGUUUCAGACAUUUGACCUGUAAGAGAACCAAGCCGCUUAAGUUUGUGACUAUCUAUUACAGCAGCCCCAGGAAACAGAUAUGCUAUGGGAAAUGUGUCGGUUAAAGAAAUAUACAGGACACAGGAAGUGAUGAUGACCAAAUGAGAAUCAGUGCAUCUCAUAUGAGGUGAAUAUGAGUCUCAUAUGAGACGAAUCUCGAGUCAGGAGAGUCGGUCCAUCUGUGGGGAGUGGGGGUUGUCACUGGAGGAGACACAUGGCAGAGCCCAGGGAGGGUGGCAAGUUCUACUUCUUGUCCCAGCUGGUGGUUCCAAGGGAUGCAUCUGGUAAAUCAUUCAUUAAGCGGUGCCUUUGUUUUAUGUGGUUCUCUAAGACUUUGAUUUCCAUUCAACCAGGUAAAAAUUCUAACAACUUCAAGAAUGGUUUCCUGGGGUAGAAUAGAAUCUCAUUCUCUGAAGCUGUUGAGGACAAAAGCAUUUCCUCCUCCUGAUCUUGCUGAUGUUCUUUCCACCAGCAGCACAGUGAUUGGCACAAAGAGGAAAGGUCUGAAUGUUGCACAAUAUCCACUGCCCAGAAUCUGCUUCCUGAAUGCCCUGGACAUACUCGUGCCUGACCCACAAAUUCUUGACAAUCUGAGCUGGAGCUGAGGUGGAGCUUUCAAGGCAAAGAUAUUUGCCCAACACAUCACCCCCUGCUCACAAAUAAUCUGUUUAUCAAACUUUCGCCAAAGCACUCAGUUGGAGGUGCCAAACCCUGACUUAGAUGGGUGGUGUCACUCCCAUUUUGUGGGUGAGUAAGCUGAGGUGCAAAAAGGUGAUAAGAAUCGCCCAAGGUCACCCAUCAGCUAGGAACAGGCCUGGGAUUAAAAUCUGACUCACACCAGAGUCUUGCGUUUCCCGUCACUUCCGGGCCUUUGCUGAAAUUGAUGGAAGUGGGCAGCGUUGUUUCUGCGAAGAGGGGAAGAGGCGGGAGAAACAAGAAGGGCUUCUAGAACCCACUGGGUUGAGUGGGGCCCACGUGGCCACCCUUGGGGAGCAGCUGGGAUAAGUGGCAAACACAUACACGUGUCCUGCCCUACAGUCCUUAAGUAACCCCACUCGACAGAUAAGAAAACUGAGGCGCAGAAUAGUGGCACAGCCUCCUCUGAAGCCCCCUCCCCACUAAGCAGUGGGUCUUGUUCUGGAUUCCCGUGCUGUGUGAAGCCAAAACACUUACACAUCUCAGUAUAUCCACUUGGAGGCUGGAACCCGUCUACACUGCACAUUCACCCACAGGCUUUGGGAGCCAUGUGAGCCCAGUGAUGAUGAGAGUGACUAUGCCAUCCCCAUACCCCAUACACUAUGCCAAGCCCUGCCCUGAGCUCUUCCCAUAUAAGACGGCCCAGCAAAUUUCCUCUCAAUUUCACUAUGAAGGAGGUGCCAUCACGGUGGCCAUUUUACAGAUGAGUAAACUGAGCCUGUGAACAUUUAAGAAACCUGCUCCAGGUCCCAAGAUUAGCAAGCACAGGAGCCAGCUCUGCAAAUGAGAAUAAAGAGCUCAUAGACCAUGCAGCACCAGGUAUAGCCCAAAGGCAGAGGCUCCUCAAACUGUCCAGCUCGUGGGGUUCCCUCCCAGGGCCCUUCCUGGGGGUAAGGUCUUAAGCUGUCUUCUCCUUCAAUAACAAACUGGCAAUCGCCUUCAGAGAGGCCACGUAGCCGCUCCCGAGCCUCCCAGCAGCUCUAGGAGCCUCAGCUCACAUUAAACGUGCUCCCAGCAUCUUAGCUGACCUCACGUGGCUCCCCAGGAGAAUCAUCUGGGUGCUCAGGAAAGUUCAGCUUCCCGGCCCGCUCAGUGACUCAGGGUAGGGAGGGGUCUGGUUUAUCGCCCAUCUCCACCCCAUCUCCCCGGCUCCAGCUGCAUCUCACGAUUGGGCAAGUUUGGGAAACAGCCCAAGCUUUGAGGCCCCUCCGCAGCCCCAGGCCUUCCCAGGCCGCCGCGGCCCCUCAAGGGCAGGAAAGUCCGGGAGGGCGGGGCCAGGUGCUCCGAGGGCCUCCUGUGCGCAGCUCCGCCCGGGGUGGGGCCUCACCUGCGGCAGGCAGGUAGGCGGCUACCUGGUAACCUGGGCCUGGCCGGGAGGCUUGGGCGCGCGCAGCCAGCCCCGGCCACGCCAGGGACCGAGGGACGCAGGCACAGGCGGCCGCCGGCGGGACGGGAGGCUGGGCGA
RNAcentral lists this long non-coding RNA (2563 nucleotides) under Bos grunniens (domestic yak). Its description in RNAcentral is "lncRNA (ENSBGRG00000016398.1)". The record is from RNAcentral. Lineage: Eukaryota; Metazoa; Chordata; Mammalia; Artiodactyla; Bovidae.